GGGGUGAUGGCCUACCAAGGCGACGACGGGUAGCCGGCCUGAGAGGGCGACCGGCCACACUGGGACUGAGAUACGGCCCAGACUCCUACGGGAGGCAGCAGUGGGGAAUAUUGCGCAAUGGGCGAAAGCCUGACGCAGCGACGCCGCGUGGGGGAUGACGGCCUUCGGGUUGUAAACCUCUUUCGACCGGGACGAAGAGAGAUUGACGGUACCGGUAGAAGAAGCACCGGCCAACUACGUGCCAGCAGCCGCGGUAAUACGUAGGGUGCGAGCGUUGUCCGGAAUUAUUGGGCGUAAAGAGCUCGUAGGCGGUGUGUCACGUCGAUCGUGAAAACCUACAGCUUAACUGUGGGCGUGCGGUCGAUACGGGCAUCACUGGAGUUCGGCAGGGGAGACUGGAAUUCCUGGUGUAGCGGUGAAAUGCGCAGAUAUCAGGAGGAACACCGGUGGCGAAGGCGGGUCUCUGGGCCGAUACUGACGCUGAGGAGCGAAAGCGUGGGGAGCGAACAGGAUUAGAUACCCUGGUAGUCCACGCCGUAAACGGUGGGCGCU
RNAcentral lists this ribosomal RNA (552 nucleotides) under uncultured Actinomycetes bacterium. RNAcentral's name for it is "bacterial SSU rRNA". It matches the Rfam family "Bacterial small subunit ribosomal RNA", at positions 254 to 817 of the family's 1533-position model. The record is from RNAcentral. Lineage: Bacteria; Bacillati; Actinomycetota; Actinomycetes.